Molecule: long non-coding RNA, 490 nt
Filed under: Lupinus angustifolius (narrow-leaved blue lupine)
Lineage: Eukaryota; Viridiplantae; Streptophyta; Magnoliopsida; Fabales; Fabaceae
Description: long non-coding RNA (LANG_LNC003596)
Source: RNAcentral
UUGGAGAUAAUGUAACAUAUUAUAUUUAAAGAUAUCAAAUUACAUAAUAACAAAUUAUUAAAUUCUGGGUCUCAUUCCACUAAUUUAGAAUUUUUCCUUUUCCUUUCUCUCUUCUCUCUCCCUUGACAACAACCCACCACCAUCAACAUUAUUUCCCCUCUCCCUAUCCUUCAUCCUCCCAAUUGCUUAACCGCUCCACCAUAAUUAUUCCCUCAACAUUAUAAGCUUCCUCAGCUCUGCCACCACUCUUCAUAAAAUGUUAGCAACAUAGCAACUUAGAAAGCCAUAAAGAUUGGAAUAGAUGAAGCAUAAGAAAAGGAAGGACAAAGAUAGAAAGAGAGACUGAAAUGUUAGUUGGAUGGUGUGAAAUUAUAGUUUAGAGGGUGUUAGGAAUUGGUGGGUUACGGUUGAGGGAGAGAAGAGAGAAAGGGAAAAAUCUGAAUUGGUUGAUCGAGACUCACAAUGUAAUGAUAAGUUGAGAUAUAAUUUG